This 1474-nucleotide long non-coding RNA is filed under the name Homo sapiens (human). RNAcentral describes it as "HSALNT0357856". Lineage: Eukaryota; Metazoa; Chordata; Mammalia; Primates; Hominidae. The record is from RNAcentral.
GUUCUAUAAAGGAAACUUCCCUAGAAAGAAACCACUUCUAAAUGGAAUAAUUAAAAUAAUUUGUUAGAAACUUUAAGUUACCCUAUGAGCUCCUAGUAACACUGUUUUCAAGCUCAUAGGUUAAUUGUUAAGCCCUUUUGCUCCGAGUUGAACUGAUCAAAUGGCUCUGUGUAAAAGGUAACAGUGUAGAAUCCUCUUUGAGAAAUAGCAUGUAAACUUGGGAGAAAUGGCCUAAGCCCACGGUUCUCAAGUCACUGAGACAGUUGAAAAAGCCCCCUCAGGUGGUGAGAAUGGGAUAAUAUUUUAUUAUAUCUCUAAGAUGCCUCAAAUCCAAAGAGAUAAUUAAAUUUGGAAUUUUAUUAGUUUCACCUAAUAGUUGUAUAAAAGCUGAAUAUUUAAGGAUCUCCUUUAUCAGGCACUGAGAUGCUUUGUAUACAUUACUUCAUUUAGUUUUCACAAUAGUCCUAAGAGGUGGAGGUAUUUUUGACCCUGUUUUAUAGUUGAAGAACAGGCUCAGUAAGGUUAUAUUACCUGCUCCAAAUUUCACAGCUAGUUAAUUUAGUUUAUGUUGGAAGUUAGCAUUUAAGGUUGGUUAUUUUUCCUAUGUGGCUCCAAUUGCUCCUAAAAUGGUGUUGAUUUUUCUGUUUAAAAUGAUCCAGAGGAGGUUCUUGGUUCAAAGCAGAUUUUUAAGUGAUUUAAAAGUGCCUCAUUGUCCCAGCGCCAAAUUAUCAAAGUUCAAGGAAUUAUGCAUUUACUCUAGAAGGCUACGGCUUUCAAAUAUUAACUGAGAAAGCCCUACUCUUAAUGAGCUCGUUAAUGCACAUGGCCGCCUUAGUGUUGCUGAACUCCGGUAACUUUCUUCUGCUUUUUUUCUGAAGACCUUUUAAUUCAGGGUGUGCAUUUUCCUCUUGCGUGUCACAAGUGCUAUUCAGGCUUUCUCUAGUUGAAUCCCCUGUUUGUGAGUGCAUACCUGCAGUAUUUUAUAUGCUAAGUGAAAUAUUUUUAAAUUUACGUUAGCACCUAGAUUAGCGUUGAACCUGUUUUAAGAAUGCAAAAUUAUUCUUAAGACAUACUAGAUGUUGGUGUCCUUCCCCUCUGUAUUUGCCUAAACCUUCAUCAGUGUAUUGAGCCUCUUAAGAGCAGGUGAGCUUAUGAACAACCUUGUCUGGAAACGUCAGAAUUUAGCCACAUGAUGAGAUCAUUCCUGGUAGCCAGGAGUUGUAGAUAAUGCUCACUUCUGUAUCCUGAGCACCUAGGGUAGCAUCUGGCUUUUGAAACACCAUGUGUUGAAUGAAUGAAUGAAGACAAAGAAGAGCAAGAGCAGAGGAUGAGCAGAAAUAGAGAACUCGAAUGAAGAUUCACUUUGGAACACAUUAGUCAAUUAGAUAUAUGCAUGCCUGACAAAUGUACCCCUAGAGUCUAGAAUACUUUCAUUUCUUAUCUUCGUAACCUCUACUCAGGCUCUUGACAGCUG